AGCGGCGAGCGAACGGGGAGGAGCCCAGAGCCUGAAUCAGCAUGUGUGUUAGUGGAAGCGUCUGGAAAGGUGCGCGAUACAGGGUGACAGCCCCGUACACAAAAGCGCAUGUGCUGUGAGCUCGAUGAGUAGGGCGGGACACGUGGUAUCCUGUCUGAAUAUGGGGGGACCAUCCUCCAAGGCUAAAUACUCCUGACUGACCGAUAGUGAACCAGUACCGUGAGGGAAAGGCGAAAAGAACCCCGGCGAGGGGAGUGAAAAAGAACCUGAAACCGUGUACGUACAAGCAGUGGGAGCACAGGUUUACCUGUGUGACUGCGUACCUUUUGUAUAAUGGGUCAGCGACUUAUAUUCUGUAGCAAGGUUAACCGUAUAGGGGAGCCGUAGGGAAACCGAGUCUUAACCGGGCGUUAAGUUGCAGGGUAUAGACCCGAAACCCGGUGAUCUAGCCAUGGGCAGGUUGAAGGUUGGGUAACACUAACUGGAGGACCGAACCGACUAAUGUUGAAAAAUUAGCGGAUGACCUGUGGCUGGGGGUGAAAGGCCAAUCAAACCGGGAGAUAGCUGGUUCUCCCCGAAAGCUAUUUAGGUAGCGCCUCGUGAAUUCAUCUCCGGGGGUAGAGCACUGUUUCGGCUAGGGGGCCAUCCCGGCUUACCAACCCGAUGCAAACUGCGAAUACCGGAGAAUGUUAUCACGGGAGACACACGGCGGGUGCUAACGUCCGUCGUGAAGAGGGAAACAACCCAGACCGCCAGCUAAGGUCCCAAAGUCAUGGUUAAGUGGGAAACGAUGUGGGAAGGCCCAGACAGCCAGGAUGUUGGCUUAGAAGCAGCCAUCAUUUAAAGAAAGCGUAAUAGCUCACUGGUCGAGUCGGCCUGCGCGGAAGAUGUAACGGGGCUAAACCAU
Molecule: ribosomal RNA, 907 nt
Filed under: Salmonella enterica
Lineage: Bacteria; Pseudomonadati; Pseudomonadota; Gammaproteobacteria; Enterobacterales; Enterobacteriaceae
Description: partial 23S ribosomal RNA
Rfam family: Bacterial large subunit ribosomal RNA
Source: RNAcentral